This 515-nucleotide ribosomal RNA is filed under the name uncultured bacterium. RNAcentral's name for it is "bacterial SSU rRNA". It matches the Rfam family "Bacterial small subunit ribosomal RNA", at positions 791 to 1304 of the family's 1533-position model. The record is from RNAcentral.
UAGUCCACGCCGUAAACGAUCAUCACUCGCUGUUGGCGAUAUACUGUCAGCGGCCAAGCGAAAGUAUUAAGUGAUGCACCUGGGGAGUACGCCGGCAACGGUGAAACUCAAAGGAAUUGACGGGGGCCCGCACAAGCGGUGGAGCAUGUGGUUUAAUUCGAUGAUACGCGAGGAACCUUACCAGGGCUUAAAUGUAGUAUGACCGGUCUGGAAACAGGCCUUCCCGUUCGGGGCAGAUUACAAGGUGCUGCAUGGUUGUCGUCAGCUCGUGCCGUGAGGUGUUAGGUUAAGUCCUGCAACGAGCGCAACCCCUAUUCUUAGUUGCCAGCGGUUCGGCCGGGGACUCUAAGAAGACUGCCAGCGCAAGCUGAGAGGGAAGGUGGGGAUGACGUCAAAUCAUCACGGGCCCUUACGUCCUGGGGCUACACACGUGCUACAAUGGCUAGGACAGACGGGCUGCAAACCNGCGAUGGGGGAGCUAAUCCGACAAACCUAGUCGUAGUCCGGGAUUGGGA